RNAcentral lists this ribosomal RNA (468 nucleotides) under uncultured bacterium. RNAcentral's name for it is "partial 16S ribosomal RNA". It matches the Rfam family "Bacterial small subunit ribosomal RNA", at positions 28 to 507 of the family's 1533-position model. The record is from RNAcentral.
GACGAACGCUGGCGGCGUGCUUAACACAUGCAAGUCGAACGGAAAGGCCCUGCAUUUGUGGGGUGCUCGAGUGGCGAACGGGUGAGUAACACGUGAGUAACCUGCCCUUGACUUUGGGAUAACUUCAGGAAACUGGGGCUAAUACCGGAUAGGAGCUCCUGCUGCAUGGUGGGGGUUGGAAAGUUUCGGCGGUUGGGGAUGGACUCGCGGCUUAUCAGCUUGUUGGUGGGGUAGUGGCUUACCAAGGCUUUGACGGGUAGCCGGCCUGAGAGGGUGACCGGCCACAUUGGGACUGAGAUACGGCCCAGACUCCUACGGGAGGCAGCAGUGGGGAAUAUUGCACAAUGGGCUGAAGCCUGAUGCAGCAACGCCGCGUGCGGGAUGACGGCCUUCGGGUUGUAAACCGCUUUCGCCUGUGACGAAGCGUGAGUGACGGUAAUGGGUAAAGAAGCACCGGCUAACUACGUG